CGAUUCUAUCUUUCUUGCUCUCUUUUUCUUUUUUCUGGUGAAUAGAAGAUGGCGGUACAGUCACAACCAGUGAUGGUGGCUGGUUUGUAACUCGGGCAAAAUGUCCAGAUCUGAAACUCUGGGCUCUAACUUGUAUUGGGAAACCCUUCCUUCGAUCAGAAUCUCAAAGAGUAAGGGCUAGGUCUGAGAAAUCAACUCACUGCUGUAGGGACUACCACUGUUGUUUAACCAGAAUAUGAUUCAAAAUCUGAAAUUAUUCUCUCUCUCUCUCUCUCUCUCUCUCCCUCUCUCUCACACACACACACACUUGGCAGUAUCCUAGAAGUAGAAGGGUUAUGUCGCAGUGGGGGUGGGGGAGUGACUAAAGAUGGGGCGUUUCUGUUGAAGGCAGGAGGGGUUGGGGAGAUGGAAGGCUGUGGUGUUGUUGCUGUGGCAGAACAUUAACGGGAAAAGAAAGAAUAUGGAAGAAGAGAGAUUGAUAGGUAAGGAUGAUGGAUCCUUCGGCUUUGAUACCAAAAUUGGUGGAAGGGGCUGGUUAGAGGUGAGGAAGCGCCCCCCGGGGGGGGGGGAGGGGGAAGAAGAUCGCACAAUCACUUUGGCCACGCAGGCACUCACGGAUGCUUCACUGUUUCAUUCUUCAAACUCUGCCCGAUGACUUGGGUUACAAGCAUAUUUAUACGAACAAAAUUAAAAGUUUCCUUAUUAAAAUCUAAAACUGAAAUAGAAAUGAAUCUCCUAAUUAUCUGAUUGAAAGAUCACAGCAUUAAUCUAAAUAAGUAAAUAAAUAAACUACUAAUAAUCUACUAGACUAAAAACCUAACUAUGGAUCCGGUCACGGUGUGGGUUCCCAAACGGGUUCAGGUCGUUUCAUGGAAGCGCUCUUGCAUCACUUGGCCUUGGGUGUUCAAAGCUUGCCUCCUGCUAUGCAUGGCUGGACCAGUGAUGCAGCUAGGCGUGGAGUUAUGUGUGGAUAAUUUAUGUAAUUUGGAUAUUUAUUUAUUUCCUAUAAUUUUAGGGUAGGGUGUCGAUCAAGUUAGUUGGGCUGGAAUCAGUCUUUUAGGGCAUGGAGUUAGAUCUUGAUUCUGCUUUAGAGUAGGUUCCUGUUUUGUUUCAGCUUCAAAAAACGAAAUUAGAUUUACUUUUAGUCUUCAAAUAUCAGCUUGUAGCCUUGUACCCAAUGAUUUAUCUGGAUUUGGAAGAAGUGAAAAUUGAUUAAAGGUUUUUGGUUUGAAACCAUGGCUGCCAAGAGGUGUGUGUCUCUUUCUUUAUUCUUCUUCUCCCUUUGAAAUUCUAUCUAAGAGGUGUGUCUCUUUCUCUGUUCUUCUUCUCCCUCUGAAAUUCUAUCUUUCUCAUCUCUUGCUGUUAUUCCAUAACUUGAUCAAGGGUCUCAUCCCAAAUAACUUACUUGGUGUGAGUUCAAAUCCGAAUUCUUCCCUGGUUUUGUUACUGUUCAUCAUCCCUGCAGCAGGACACGAACUGAGAAAGGCUUACUGGAACUCCUCUGGAAGAUCUCUAUUUGCCUGUAGGUUCAAACUGAAGGAAGCUGGUCUCCUAGCGUCCAACCCUUGAAUCUCAGACAUGACUCCUUGCCCUGUGAUGAGAUAACAAAUUGAGACCAAACCCGGUUCCUAUUCUAUUGCCAGGAACAAUUUCAGAGAGCUUUGUUUGAAGAAUUGAAGGCUGUCUGGCUGGGUUAAUACUUGGAUUUCAGAAAUUGAUAUAUUGCGAAUCAGAUCCCAAAGUAUUGACCUGAAUGAGCUUGUUGUCUGGGAGUUCUCUUCGCAAGCCUCUUUUGUUCCGCUGGUUUCUGGUUCACGACAAGAAGAAGAAGAAGAGAUUUCCUCUAUUGUUUAACCCUUUUAUUGUUACUUUCCCAUAUUACCUCACCUCUUAUCUUGUAUUAUCUCUUGUCCUAUUUUUAUCUCUGGUUCCUGAUUUUCCCUUUGUACCAUGCAACAUGUAACCAUUGCUUGUGUCUUGAAGUACAAUUAAAUUACAAGUCUGCCACUCCAUUUAAACUUCCAUCUAUUUACAGAAUUUCCACCCUCAUUUGAGACUUUGUUUAUUUACAAAUCUGUCAUUAUGUUUUGCAAUUGAGCUGUCUACUAUUUGUGUGGGCCCAUUAGCGGUUCGAUCCUGGUUUCGAACCCGGAUCCACAUCAACUGGCUUGACCAACUGGAAACCCAGACCGAGACAAACCAGAUCAAAACUUGGAUUCUGGUCCAAUAGGGAUUGGUAGGAAAUUAAUUAAUUUCUUGGGGUUAUUCUUGUAGUUUGCAUUUUAUUUUACUUGGUGAGAUUUGAUUGAGUUGUUUAGUUUCCUAGUUUAAGUGCUAUUUCAGUUUUAGAAAGUAAUUAGGAGUCUUUUAUAUAUAAAUAUAUAUAUAUAUAUAUAUAUAAAUUCAACAAUAGAGGGAGAAUGAUAUUGAAUAUUGAACGAAAAUUUGAGUUUGAACUGCCAUACGUCUGUGGAGCUGUGUGACCAGACAGAGAGAGGUUGAGUUGCUGACUUCAAGGAUUGAAGAAGGAUUGGAAGAAGAUUUAUAGUCUUGUUAAGUGUGUUUUUGAGUUCACAAGAUGAUGAGAUGUGCGGGUAUGUUUGUACAGCUCCAAAAACUAGGGACUCUCGAUGCAUCUAUCUCAGAAUCGAGAAAGGGUUUUAUUACAUGAUAGUCUGGACAUCUAAAUCCUUCUGGGGUUUCAGAUAUGUAAUCAUGCAUGGACAAUUCAAAUACAUAGAGUAGUGCUGUUACAUUUGAAAGUUAGAUUAUGAUAGGUACUGCUUUUUACAUUUCAUCUGAAAAGAGUCAUUUGUAAUUUCAUCAAUCAGGAGAAUUGGAGCUCCCAUUAAUUUGCAUUUUUGUAAAAUUCCUCCAGAGAGCCAUAUCAUCAUGUGUGUGGUCAUGUUUUUUAUUAGCAUUUUCCAAUUUAGCCUGUCUGUUUGUAUGUGUAAAUUAUUCAGUCUAAAUUUUAGAAUUACAUAUUUUUUUUUGUUUAA
Molecule: RNA transcript, 2999 nt
Organism: Macadamia integrifolia
Lineage: Eukaryota; Viridiplantae; Streptophyta; Magnoliopsida; Proteales; Proteaceae
Gene name: E3 ubiquitin-protein ligase RING1-like
Exons: 4
Source: RefSeq, a predicted model, not a curated record